AGCAGCCGCGGUAAUUCCAGCUCCAAUAGCGUAUAUUAAAGUUGUUGCAGUUAAAAAGCUCGUAGUUGAAUUUCGGGAUUAGCAGGUCGGUCGUGCCACUGGUACGUACUGGUCUUGCUGAUUCCUCCCUCUUGACGAGCCGUAAUGCCAUUAAUUUGGUGUUGCGGGGAAUCAGGACUGUUACUUUGAAAAAAUUAGAGUGUUUAAAGCAGGCAUGCGCUUGAAUACAUUAGCAUGGAAUAAUGAAAUAGGACGUUCGAUCUUAUUUUGUUGGUUUCUAGGAUUGACGUAAUGAUUAAUAGGGAUAGUUGGGGGCAUUAGUAUUCAAUUGUCAGAGGUGAAAUUCUUGGAUUUAUUGAAGACUAACUACUGCGAAAGCAUUUGCCAAGGAUGUUUUCAUUAAUCAAGAACGAAAGUUAGGGGAUCGAAGACGAUCAGAUACCGUCGUAGUCUUAACCAUAAACUAUGCCGACUAGGGAUCGGAUGAUGUUAAUUUUUUAAUGACUCAUUCGGCGCCUUACG
Molecule: ribosomal RNA, 522 nt
Filed under: uncultured Glomeromycotina
Lineage: Eukaryota; Fungi; Glomeromycota
Also listed under: 1 other name
Description: SSU rRNA
Rfam family: Eukaryotic small subunit ribosomal RNA
Source: RNAcentral